GCAUAUAAUUAAGCGGAGGAAAAGAAACUAACUAGGAUUCCCUCAGUAACGGCGAGUGAAGCGGGACUAGCUCAGGAUGUGAAUCUGCGCUUUUAUGGCGCCGAAUUGUGGUCUAUAGACUUUGACGUUAUCUGCCGGGCCAAGUUCCUUGGAAAAGGACAGCUGAGAGGGUGACACUCCCGUCCGCCUGGUAGAGUGAGUCUUUGUCAACGAGUCGAGUUGUUUGGGAUUGCAGCUCUAAUUUGGUGGUAAAUUCCAUCUAAAGCUAAAUAUUGGUGGGAGACCGAUAGCGUACAAGUACCGUGAGGGAAAGAUGCAAAGAACUUUGAAAAGAGAGUUAAAGAGUACCUGAAAUUGCUGAAACGGAAGCGAAGGAAACCAGUGUUUGUUGGUUCAUAUUUCCCUUGUCACUUGUGAUGUGGGCGCUGUGAGCUUGCGUGGGUUUGCUUUGGUUGAUUCCUUUGGAAGAGCGCAGUCAGAGUUGAUGUCUGUUGCUAGCACUGGUUUUGACUUAAGCAGACGAAAUGGUUUUCUUUACCCCGUCUUGAAACACGGACCAAGGAGUCUAACAUAUGUGCGAGUACAGGGGUGUCAAACCCCGGUGCGUAAUGAAAGUGACAGUGGUUGGAAUUUUGCACAAUCCGCCGGCCUCAAUCCUUCGGGAGAACGGUCUGAGUGUGAGCAUACAUGUUGGGACCCGAAAGAUGGUGAACUAUGCCUGAAUAGGGUGAAGCCAGGGGAAACUCUGGUGGAGGCUCGUAGCGAUUCUGACGUGCAAAUCGAUCGUCAAAUUUGGGUAUAGGGGCGAAAGACUAAUCGAACCAUCUAGUA
Molecule: ribosomal RNA, 831 nt
Filed under: Pseudo-nitzschia galaxiae
Lineage: Eukaryota; Bacillariophyta; Bacillariophyceae; Bacillariales; Bacillariaceae
Description: partial large subunit ribosomal RNA
Rfam family: Eukaryotic large subunit ribosomal RNA
Source: RNAcentral